Long non-coding RNA from Acinonyx jubatus (cheetah), 1411 nucleotides. RefSeq lists it as uncharacterized. The transcript is spliced from 2 exons. NCBI's taxonomy places the organism in Eukaryota, Metazoa, Chordata, Mammalia, Carnivora, Felidae. The record is from RefSeq and is a predicted model, not a curated record.
UCUACCAUCAAGCAUUAGAAAUCGGGAUAGCUUGCUAUGGUAUCCCAAUUAAAUCAGGGGCCCCACUGCAAAGGAAAGCAAGUACAAGAAUGGGCUAAGAACAAAGCAUAGUAAGAUACAAAGGACUUACACCUACAAGCCCAACCAUGUCUGGGUCAAAUGAAAGGUGCAAUGGCUUACUCAAGCAGAAGCUGACUAAUAAGCCUGAUAUAAAAGCUUGGACGAAACCAGUCUGGGAGGUGGCAAGAUCUCUAAACCAUAAAUAUGGAAAGAAUAGAAAAACUCCUAUCGCAUUAAUAUUGCAAGCACCUCUACAGAUAAGACCACUGACAAACUCCAGAAUCUAAACUAGAAGGAAAACAUUUUAAAAAAACAUAAUGGUAUAUAUAUAUAGUACUAGGAAAAUUAUGGUACCUGCCAUCAAUACAACCUACUGGAUGACUGAAGACAAAACUACAUUACAUCACAUUAAAGAAAGUAAUAUGAUGACUCUGAAAAUGGCAGGCAUGAGAACACCAUCUUUAUUGUAUUGACACCAGACGCCUGAUAUUUAGCCUCGCAGGAUGGAGGGCGACUAUGCUAGAGGGAAUAUAGGCAAAAACGGACGUCAUACUGGUAGAUAUCCUUGGGUGGCAAGAACAACGAGAAGGAAUUAAAAAUGCCAAGGAAACUAUUUUUAUUUUGCAGGCAUGAAUCCACGAUGCAUCUUUAACCCUACCAAGAUUACUAACGGGUCAGUGCAGCAUGCUGCCUGCUGCCCAUACUCCGUUGCCUAUCGCUCCCUGUUGGAUACCAUAGUCAUUACAGCUAUGGAUACUCCUCUGAUGGCUCCAGCAAUAGGAGCUGUGCCAGUGUUCUGAACUGGAAUGCCACUUUCUGGUCCGGCACAACUCCACUGUCUGUGACAUCCUCCGCAUUCUCCAGAGAUCACUAGUCUAGUCACCUUAUUGCAACGGAGGACUCAUCAACAUCACCGGCAUCAACCAACCCAGCCUCUGCACCCCAUCCUUCGCUGUCAGCACUAUCUACUCACCGGGAAAGCUUCAAUCAGUAGAGACACCAAAUACUUAGGGAAGCUGAUGAAGCAGUGGUGACCUCCAUUUUAAUCUCCACAAGAACCAUCAAGGAUACUGAACAACAACUCUAUUAGACAUUGACUUGGAGGAUGAAGACUGGCCUGAACUACUAACUGGCUUUUGGUAUCAUAACCCAGCACAUAUAUUUCAUCAACCAGAAAAAGAACAAAGAUCCAUGCCUGCCCCAACAACAAUGCACCAACCACCACCUGAAGCCAAGGAGAAACUUCUGUAACCUGGAACACUUGUCCUUUUCCAGAGAACUUUAAAAAAUAAAAACCUUCGCAAUUUCCUCCAAAAACUGAAUAAAAACUGACCGUCCCUUUGUCUCUUCA